UCCGGAGGAUCGGCAGUAUGGCCGGAGCAGCCGAAGCGAGCUGGUCAUCGGGAGCGAUGUCGGUGGUAGCGCGUACAUCGGGCUAAGGAUCAAUACGCAGUUACUGUCGUUCUGUUUUGUGGAAGUUUCUCCGAUCGCGUUUUAAACGUGCCUAGAAGAAAAAUCGUACGAAUCUUUUACAUGUGAGCUUGGUGUCCAGUUCUGGUUUAUUGUUAGUGAUAACUCGGGAAGUAGUGUUCAGUUUGAUCUACAUAUUUGCAAAAAGUGCUUAACAAUCAGUAGCUACAGAAAGACCUAUAUCAUUCGGAGUUUCGUGAAUUCCGUAACUCGAAAAUUUUUCCAUAAGCGGUGGUGCGCAGUGUCUUUGUAUCGUGACCAUCACGUGUCGAUGCUCCCGAGCGGUCCGCAAUUCGUCUAAACGAAUUCGAGGCUUUCAAUUGGUCAACUUCACCGCAGUACUUAUUCAACUUCCGACCACGAAGGGCAGGAGUUACAUGGCAUCGCACAAUUCGUUUACAGGUACUCUGAGAUGCUGUCGCCGCAGUUAUGACCCCCUGGACUUCCCCUGUUCAUCAGGGGGAGUCCAGGGACCCGUCCCCUGGGACUGCGCGGCCUCCCACCGCCCCCGGGGUCCCAGGGGACCCAGUCCCCGAGG
This is a long non-coding RNA of Athalia rosae (coleseed sawfly), 655 nucleotides long. RefSeq lists it as uncharacterized. The transcript has 3 exons. The record is from RefSeq and is a predicted model, not a curated record. NCBI's taxonomy places the organism in Eukaryota, Metazoa, Arthropoda, Insecta, Hymenoptera, Athaliidae.